Molecule: long non-coding RNA, 334 nt
Filed under: Salvia miltiorrhiza (redroot sage)
Lineage: Eukaryota; Viridiplantae; Streptophyta; Magnoliopsida; Lamiales; Lamiaceae
Description: long non-coding RNA (SMIL_LNC009644)
Source: RNAcentral
UUUUUUGGUAAAAGUAGGGUUAAACAUAUAAGAUUAUUUGUUUUUAAUAAUUAAAUGUGGUUUUUAUUGUUGGGUAAAUUGACAAGGGAUUAUAAUUUAAAAUACUAGGUUUUAAGCUCAAACCCCCGUGAAGCCUCUUGUAGUCAUUUUAUUAUUAUUUUUUUCAACAUUUCAAUUACUUUUUUUGUUUUUUCUUAAAUUUUAACUAUAGUCAUUUAUUAUCUUUUUGCCAACUUUUUAUUUCCUUUAUUUGUUUUUUCCGUAAAUUUUCAAUCAAAUAAAAGUAAGUAGAAAAAAAAAAACUAAAUUGAAACAAUCAAAUAUUCAACUUAAG